RNAcentral lists this ribosomal RNA (402 nucleotides) under Triticum aestivum (bread wheat). RNAcentral describes it as "partial small subunit ribosomal RNA". Lineage: Eukaryota; Viridiplantae; Streptophyta; Magnoliopsida; Poales; Poaceae. The record is from RNAcentral.
AUGUCGCUGAGCGAGAAGCUGGAAGCGGCGCGUAUCGCCCUGGGCAAGCGCAAGGAGCGGGAGCUGCAGCAGCUGGGCCCCGCCCCGGCCCCGGCCCUAGCCCCAGCGCCUGCCGCUGCGACUAAAGCCGAGCUGUCCAAGCCGGCUCGGGCCGGCAACAACAACAAGCUGCUAGCCGGGAACCUGGCCCACGAGUUCCUGACCCACGGCACGCUCCUGGGCCGCCGGAUCGAGCCGAGCCAUCACCACCAACCCGCUGCCGCGGCCGCCUCCCCGCGGCCCGAGCCCGAGCCGAAGAGGAGGUACGCGGAGCUGUCCUGGCUGCUCAUGACGAACGGGGCCCACAUCCCCGGCGUCGUCAACCCCACGCAGCUCGGCCGCUGGCUCCAGAUAAAGGAGUGA